Molecule: transfer RNA, 828 nt
Filed under: uncultured Prochlorococcus sp.
Lineage: Bacteria; Bacillati; Cyanobacteriota; Cyanophyceae; Synechococcales; Prochlorococcaceae
Description: partial 16S-23S ribosomal RNA intergenic spacer; may also contain 16S ribosomal RNA and 23S ribosomal RNA
Rfam family: tRNA (bases 248-320)
Source: RNAcentral
AACCUGAUUAUGAUGUCUGAAUUAUUGUUUUUAGGCCAUAAUCCUGUCACCUUAGGUCGAUCGGUAUCUCAGAUUGAAACCAGAAAAAAUGAGAAAUCAGUUAGUUUUUGGUAUUGAUUUCAGUUCCUAAACUUGUCUAGGUCACACCCAACAAUGGUUCUCCUGGGCCAUUAGCUCAGGUGGUUAGAGCGCACCCCUGAUAAGGGUGAGGUCCCUGGUUCAAGUCCAGGAUGGCCCAUUCGGUGUUGGGGGUAUAGCUCAGUUGGUAGAGCGCCUGCUUUGCAAGCAGGAUGUCAGCGGUUCGAGUCCGCUUACCUCCACUGAUCGACCGCCUGAUAGCGAACUUAAGGAGAUAUUUUCGUUGGUUUAGAUUUAGACGAAGUUCUUCAUGAAUGACCCUAGCUUCUUAUCAUUCUUCCUGAAACAGUGAAUUUCAGAUUGUUGAUAAGACGCUGGGCUCUCUGUAAUUACCAAAUUGCAGACAUGUUCAGUAGAACCUUGACAACUGCAUAGGUGAGAGUCUGGAAAGAAUAAAGCAUCUCAUGGAUGCAUAAUUCUUCUUUUUUAAAUUAGAUGUUUCUUCCUUUUAAGGGAAAACUAAUAAUUUAAAUUGUUGGAAUUAUGUUUAAUUCUUGAGCAAGAGCCGAGACUCUAUAACGUUCUUUUGUUGUUUAAAUCAUCAAAAGUCUGAUUUUUGAUUUAUUCCUAUAAUUGAGAUGCCAGAGUUUAGAUAUUUUAUCAAUUCUCUACUCUUAAGAAUAUGAACCAAAUCAGGAAGAAAAGUGUUAGUAACACAUGGCGUUAUAGAGAAUUAUGGUCAAGCUACAA